AACGUAGGCGGUCCGGUAAGUCGGAUGUGAAAGCCCUCGGCUUAACCGAGGAAGUGCAUUCGAAACUGUCGGACUUGAGUAUGAAAGAGGGUCGCGGAAUUCCCGGUGUAGAGGUGAAAUUCGUAGAUAUCGGGAGGAACACCAGUGGCGAAGGCGGCGACCUGGUUCAAUACUGACGCUGAGGUUCGAAAGCGUGGGGAGCAAACA
Molecule: ribosomal RNA, 207 nt
Filed under: uncultured delta proteobacterium
Lineage: Bacteria; Deltaproteobacteria
Description: partial 16S ribosomal RNA
Rfam family: Bacterial small subunit ribosomal RNA
Source: RNAcentral